AGCUCCAAUAGCGUAUAUUAAAGUUGUUGCGGUUAAAAAGCUCGUAGUUGGAUUUCUGCCGAGGACGACGGGUCCGCCCUCUGGGCGUGCAUCUUGUUUGGCCUGGGCAUCCUCUUGGAGAACGUAUUCUGCACUUGACUGUGUGGUGCGGUAUCCAGGACUUUUACUUUGAGGAAAUUAGAGUGUUUCAAGCAGGCACACGCCUUGAAUACAUUAGCAUGGAAUAAUAAGAUAGGAC
This 238-nucleotide ribosomal RNA is filed under the name uncultured eukaryote. RNAcentral describes it as "partial small subunit ribosomal RNA". It matches the Rfam family "Eukaryotic small subunit ribosomal RNA", at positions 587 to 828 of the family's 1831-position model. The record is from RNAcentral.